The sequence is a transfer RNA, 72 nucleotides long. It matches the Rfam family "tRNA". From Rfam's summary of the family: Transfer RNA (tRNA) molecules are approximately 80 nucleotides in length. Their secondary structure includes four short double-helical elements and three loops (D, anti-codon, and T loops). The record is from Rfam.
GCUCCUAUGGUGUAAUGGUUAGCACUCUGGACUUUGAAUCCAGCGAUCCGGGUUCAAAUCCCGGUAGGAGCU